UAGGGAAUAUUGGACAAUGGGGGCAACCCUGAUCCAGCCAUGCCGCGUGAGUGAAGAAGGCCCUCGGGUUGUAAAGCUCUUUUGUCCGGAAAGAAAAGCUUCGGGUUAAUACCCCGGGGUUCUGACAGUACCGGAAGAAUAAGCACCGGCUAACUUCGUGCCAGCAGCCGCGGUAAUACGAAGGGUGCAAGCGUUACUCGGAAUUACUGGGCGUAAAGCGUGCGUAGGUGGUUGUUUAAGUCUGAUGUGAAAGCCCUGGGCUCAACCUGGGAAUGGCAUUGGNAACUGGGCAGCUAGAGUGCGGUAGAGGGUAGUGGAAUUCCCGGUGUAGCAGUGAAAUGCGUAGAGAUCGGGAGGAACAUCUGUGGCGAAGGCGACUGCCUGGACCAGCACUGACACUGAGGCACGAAAGCGUGGGGAGCAAACA
RNAcentral lists this ribosomal RNA (427 nucleotides) under uncultured bacterium. RNAcentral describes it as "bacterial SSU rRNA". It matches the Rfam family "Bacterial small subunit ribosomal RNA", at positions 355 to 774 of the family's 1533-position model. The record is from RNAcentral.